UGUCUGCAUGUCACACACGUACUGUACAGUAAACUGCUCUAAUCAUAAGUAAAUAUGCUACCUAGAAAUGCAAGUAGCAAAUUUACUCGUGAGUUACUGAGCAGCAGCAAAUG
Long non-coding RNA from Gavialis gangeticus (Gharial), 113 nucleotides. RefSeq lists it as uncharacterized. Lineage: Eukaryota; Metazoa; Chordata; Crocodylia; Gavialidae. The record is from RefSeq and is a predicted model, not a curated record. The transcript is spliced from 3 exons.